AAAUUAUGAAAUACCCAUGAGAAAUAUCAAACACAAAUGCAAUACAGAAAUGGAUAAGUUAAGACUUGACCAUUGUACAAAAAAUACUGACUGGGUCAUGAGGUCAGAAAAGAAGAAGAAAAAAGCAGGUCAAGAAGAACUGACAAAAAGAAUUGCAAAAUAAUUAGUAAUUAAUGUGAAGAUUAAUUUUUAGUCAAUUCUGCAAGACAGACUUUUCAGGAAAGGAGGUGGAAUAAAAAUGAGCUCCUAAAUCUUAAUCCUGGAUUCUGGAAGAUAUAUUCCUCAAACCAUCGAACAAGAGGAGGUGGUGCUGGUCCUUCACGAGUCACUCUAAUCUGUGCAUAAAGCCUAUAUAUAAAGACUUAAUAUAUAGUAUUUCACAAUACUUCAUGGUAUUCUAAUUAAAUCAUUUUUUGGAAUCUUAAGUCUCUCAGAGUCCGACACCGAGUAAUUCUGGAGACUCCAGGAAAGUGGCAGUUCUGUAAAAUGUUGGCGCUGGAGACUAAAUGCACCCUGAUAGUUUCACACCUAAUUCACUUAACACACACACACACACACACACACACACACACAUUACCCACAGUGACAGUGGGACUGAGUGACAUUAGAUGUAUGAUAGUUUUUUUUUAAUUUUCUAUCAUCCAUAUAGUGUUGUAUAGUCAUGAAACUAUGGUCAUGAGACCAGUCAUUCUGAGGAAAUAUGCCUCAGAAUGACUGGUCUUCUAUGUGUACAUUUUUUUUUUUUUUUUAAAGUGUUUAGAAGCUGCACUUUAAAAAAAUAAAAAGACAUUUACUGGUUCCUUUUUUACUAUUAUUUCAAAAAACAUCACGGCAAAACCAUUCAAGCUAUCCAAAAUUCAUUCACACCUAUUCUGUAAGAUUAAUUCUUUAAACAGUGGUAAAAGAGGAUGUGGUGCUGAUCCUUCAAGAGUCACUCAAAACGUAUCUGUCCAUAAAGCCUAUAAAGAAUUAUUCUUAAUAUACAGUUCAAAAUACUUCAGCUUGUUAUUCUAAUUAAGUGAGGGUCAUUUUAUCAGUAAAAUAUAUACAAUUCAUUUUUUUUGAAAGAUUUCUAUAAAUGAUUUAAAUCAUACUCGUUUCUACAAUAAUUAUUUAAAAGUAAUCCUAUAGCUCCCUCUGGUGGCCAUUAUAGGUACUAAGAAUUGCAAGCUUGAUUUAUAAGUUAUGAUAGUUUUAAUUUUAUGCUGGCUCUUGAAAAUGAUAAAGCUAUGAAACUUACUGUGCUUCCUUCAAAUGAGGACUUCUACUUAUAUAAAAAAUUAUGAAGAGUUAGCAUGAAAAAUUUUAAAGAUAUAGUAAAAUAACUAUUGUAUUUUUUAUGUUACUUUAAUAAAUCUCUAUGGCAACACCAUUUAAGCUAUCCUAAACCCAUUCACAAUUUAACAUCUCAGUAUAUAGGCAUAAUGUUGAAAAAGGAGUAUGGAGUAGUAUGAGUAGGAGUAUGAAUUCAUUUGCAGGCUUUAUCAUAAAUCCACAAUAAAAUUUCUGAGUUCUGUAUCAA
Long non-coding RNA from Carassius gibelio (silver crucian carp), 1522 nucleotides. RefSeq lists it as uncharacterized. Lineage: Eukaryota; Metazoa; Chordata; Actinopteri; Cypriniformes; Cyprinidae. The transcript has 2 exons. The record is from RefSeq and is a predicted model, not a curated record.